CAGGACCUAGUCAGAAGCAGCACUCGCAGCUAAAGCGCCUGCUCAAGGCCAAAAAGGAGGCACCUCCCAGGGAGAAACCAGAGGCGGUGAAGACACACCUGCGGGACAUGGUAAUUUUGCCUGAAAUGGUGGGCAGCAUGGUUGGUGUCUACAACAGCCAGACCUUCAACCAGGUGGAGAUCAAGGCUGAGAUGAAUGGACCUUACCUGGGCGAGUUCUCCAGCACCUACAAGCCCAUGAAGCACUGCCCAACUGGCAUUGGGGCCACCCGCUCGACCCCCUUCAUCCCCCUCAAGCAGCCUGCCUGGGCAAGAAAGGC
This 319-nucleotide long non-coding RNA is filed under the name Marmota monax (woodchuck). The record is from RNAcentral. Lineage: Eukaryota; Metazoa; Chordata; Mammalia; Rodentia; Sciuridae.